UUGGCAGGUCUGGAGAAUGAAGUCCUUUGUUUCCCUGCAGAACAACUACAGCAUGGGCAGUGGCAGUGCAUUCUUCCUCACGUCACCUGGCUGAUGCUUCUCAGUUAUUUUCUUCUGGGGCAAGAGGGGAGUUCAGUCUCCACAGAUUGUGGGGUCUUUGGCCUCU
Unclassified non-coding RNA from Chelonoidis abingdonii (Abingdon island giant tortoise), 166 nucleotides. NCBI's taxonomy places the organism in Eukaryota, Metazoa, Chordata, Testudines, Testudinidae. The record is from Ensembl.